GCUGCAACAGAGCAAUCCUCUGAAUGCCUUUCAGGCUCUGAGCUCAGUAAGGUCUGUGGGUGCCAGUCCUUGACUGAAAGGGAUUUUGAGCCUGUGCUCUGAAGUCCAGCAUGAACCUGUUCCUCAGGCAGUAUGGCACAUCUCCCAUCACCUCAGUUUGUGAUAAAUGAUACCUUGCUUGAAGUAAGUCCCAGCUGAUGGUAUGUAGCCACACUGCAGAGCCAGGAAGUGUCCAACAGGUUGAGAUGUGUCCUUUGGAGGAACACAAGUUUGCUAUCCUGGAUGUUCAGAGCAUAACUGGAAGAUAUAAUGCUUGGGAUGUAUUUUUUUCCCCCGAAGUGACUUACAGCUACAACUCAUUGGAAAUACUGGGAUCUAGCAUCUACAGAAUAAGAAUAUGAUGCCUGCAAAUGCUGGAACAGGUUCUCUAGAGUUAUAUGCUACAUUCAUGAGAAGUGUGACACAGCUGCUAGGCACUCAAGAUUUUGGGGUGGCCAUCCUAUAGAGUUAGGAGUGAAUGUGUGAACGCUGAAAUAGAGCAGGUAUAUCUGCAUGGAACAGAUGUACAUUUUUAUGGACCACCUUCUGAUAUCUUACGGAACAAGAGUGGACCCACGAGCCUCAAAGCCUCUGCAGCAAAAAGCCAGAUGGUGCUUUGGUAUCUCCUGACACUUCUGGGUGCAGCAUGAACUCCUGGCCAACAACCCUAACCUGCUUGUACAUAUUGCCUACUCUCUGUCUCUCACAUCUGCCCUUCCUCUUUGGAAAAACUGGUUAGAUUAAGGAUAUUGGGAAAACACCGGGUAGCAGGUGUGAUAGCUGUGCUCAAGGAAAAGAUGCUAUAGGGUCUACCAGACAGGUGUACAGGAUGUGCAAACUAGCACUGUUUGUUCUUAAUUUUCAUUUGUUCUGCAGCAGUGGGAAGCACCAGGGGAUGAAUUGUAUAGAUGUAGUGCUGAAGGUGACUGUGGUGGUGGGGACUCCAACAGCCAUCACCUCUUGGCCACAACAGGUUGUUUUAUGGUUUUGUGUGUUUGCAAAGCUGGAAGCCAAUGGACAGUCAAUGUAAAUAUGUACCUUCCAAUAGGCUUCAUCACCUAGCUAUGCUGAAAUUUCCACUGGCAAAAAGGAAAGACAUUUCUUUGAAGGAAGUUUUCUUAAAAUGGAGGUUCAUCUGAUUUCCUGUGUUCUUUUUCAACCCGUUUUUAGAGCAUCAUGAUAACUGUAUACUCCAGGGCUAAUCGAAUCACUGCCAAUAUAAACCAGUUAGCCUUGCACCCUGUUGGGGUGGGGGAUUUGCAAAAUGCUGACCAUUGACCUCACUCUGACCUUGCAAAAGGACCUCAGCAAAACUUACAACUUCAGGACUCUUCAGGUCUCCAGGGCAGAUUUAUGAAGCUAGCUUUUUCUCAGCAAUGAAGCCUGAAGAUAGCAACAGCUCAUCACACAUUAGGCACACUUGGCACAGAAGCCCACUGAACCUUUCUUUUCAAAUGAAAAAAGACCCUUCUAAAAUCAGUUACAAUUAGAUAUCACUGUAUAGUUCACAUUUACACUUUUGUUUCCUAUGGCACUUACGUUCUUUAACACUGUGAUUUGCUCUGUAGUUUGCAAAAGCUUCAUCAACAGAGCUAAAUUAAAUUAAUUACCUGCAACACUUGGUGCAAAAUACGAGCUUGCCUUUCAGCCCCAAAUACAACAUUUGCCUGAAGAAAACUCCCAUUGUUUUCUCCCCUCCCCCCUUUAAAUGUAUCCUUUUGACUGUGUUGGGUGUAAUAAUAAGAAGUCAUACAAAUGCUUCUUCAUUGAUUUUUCUGGUUAAAUAUAAAUGUACCCUCACUGGACUCUUUCCAACAGUGUUGUUUUAAUAUCUGUAGCAACUUAAGAAACCUGAUGUUAUAAUUCAGAUGCACAGUAGGCUGAAGUCCUGGGGUCCGACUGCCAUUGCCUGGGGUUCUCAAGAGUAUGUAGCUGUGUGUUCUUCUGCCAGUGCAUUUCAAAGAGAGGUGUACUGGUCUAGCGCAAGUGCUUAUAGCUGAGCAUAACACCUGCUGCGAGGCAAGGGCAUCUAUGCCUUUGUCAUGGAGGCAACUUCAGGAAAUCUCAGCUUGGUGUCUGCUACCUAAAGAUGCCUUUAAAAAUCCCAACCAGAGUUAGGAAACUAAAAAACUAACGAGGAGGGAAAACCCACCUCUCUCUCUCUCUCUGUGUUUUCCGGGUAGGAAAAUUAAUUUAUGAUUCACAUAUAAUUCUACCAUACUUUUCAGCAUAAGUUCAGUAGCAAUCAAUGGAUAUUUUAUUUUUAUAGUACCUCCUUUUAAAAUGUUUUUUCUAAGACAAGAAAAACAUAACUGUACUUUUCAUCACAAUACAGAGAAAAGGCCAUUUAAAUCUAACACUUGGUAAACUUAAACACUGUAAUAGCAUAAAAAAAUUCAAAUUCAUCAUUACCAGAGAUGUUUUAAAAAUAACUCACACCAAUAAAGCUUUUAAAACAGGAGGAUAAAACACAGACUUGAAUGCUGGAAGGUCUGGUCUCCAGUCAGCACCCUUGGGAUUUACAUGGGUAGCGUCUAUGAUGAGCAGUAUGAAUUAUGUAUGGGCAUUUUUCAACCAUCACUAUAGGAAAGCCUAUGCAUCUCUUCAGGCUCCAAAAUGUCCAGCAUAUGCUAACAGCUUUUUGUCCUAUGUACUAAUGGAAAUUAAGCUAGCCUAUAGACUCUGAAAUACUUCCAUGCUGGCAAGCAAUCCCUCAGAAAAAUAGUUCCUAUAAUACUGAUCUUAGAUCAUAGUACAUUCUGAUGCCAGUGACAAUUAAUUAUGAAUAAUAGUCAUGAAAUAAAAUGUAAGAUCUAAGCAAUUUUCUUCGAUGUUACCUUUGACUUUGUUAUAGCCAAUGAGACAAUAAAUAUUCAGUGUGCUUUCUGUUUUUGCACUGACAAUUAAUAAUAAUUAACCCGUCCCUCCAUGGGAAAGCUUCUAAGAUGAUCUGACUGCAGUGCUGAUUCUCCCAGUGGUCUGACAUAGAUUGCUUUGUGUGCGCAUGUGCGUGCUACAUUUCUUUGGGCUAUUAAUCUGGCUUUGAAAUACUUGAUCUCUUGCACCUGUUACCCACAAAUAAAUACUUCAAGCCCCAUUGUUGAUUCCAUUUUCCCUCCUUUUCUUUUUCUUUCUGUGCUCUCUUUGCUCUGAAACUUGGACAAUGAGAAGAAAGAACACUUUGAUCCUGUUUAGAAUGUGCUCAUUAGAAACAAUGUAAGCACGUCAAUUACCUUUAACUUGUUCCAAAAACAAAACUCAUAGAUAAACAGUUCAUUUAUGCAUCCCUUUACUGAGGGAGCACUACCCUGUAUUUAAAGACUUUUUUUUUCUUUUUUUUGUGGAAAAUAAAAUGUGAGACUUUCAAAAUGCCGUUUUUGCACUUUUAGUGCUUGAUGUCAGUGGGAAGUCCGUACCACACCAUUCAGUGUUAAUUUCACAGCGUUCCUAAGUCUUGCAUUUCCCCAUAACCUCAAUGCCAAACAAUCCAGGAGAGUACUGCAAUUGCUUUUUGUUAUCAUUUUCAUGCAACAAGCAGAGACGAUCAAUAUUAGGCCUUAGGCAACAAAUCUAGUUAAAGAUUAAAAAAAAAAAUUGGAGGAAAGAUGCAGCGACAAGAAAGCAGCACCGACUGAGCAUGCUUCUACUGCGGCACAGACAGAAAGGUAGUGGACGUACUGUAGAAGCUGGCCAUUACGUAGUUUUGGCAGCGAUCACCAGUAAAUUCAUUUGGGCACCUGAGAGGAAAAACAAACAAAAAAAAUGGUAGAGAAAAAACAGAGAAAAGAGAAGAGGUGAAUAUAUGCUAAGAAAGAAGCUCCUUCAGUGUGAACUGAUAUGACUUGGUGAGUUCACUUUCAGAAACCGAAUCUCGGUUUAGUGUGUCAAAACACCUCAAGAUAUUGAGAGCAACUCAUUUGCUCUAUGGAAAUGAACAUGAAAUUCCCCCCAGAAAAACCAGCCAAAACCAAACCAAUCCAGAUCAAAGUGUGUUUCGAUAUGUAAGAGAGAAAAUCACCACUUCAAAUUCACAAAUUGCUUUUAGGAUGCACUUUCCACAAGGCAGCGAGGACACAAGAUCUGUACAUCACUCAUCUCCAUGAGUUUGUUCUUUUAGAGUAGCACUUUACAGCAGUCUCCCAAACAAGAGAGCUGCCAGUGUGUGCAAUAAAUGCAUCUGCAAACGGAUGGAAAGAUCAAAAAUCACACAAAUGAGAAACAUUUUGGAGGUCAAUAAUGCCAUGGUGUACAGAUUUUACUUUUGAAAAUCAGGUCUUAAAUUAGUGUGUAAAGAGGCCGGUUCCAGCUGAACUGUGAAAACACCAAGUACUAUUGAUUUUGUUGCUGUAGUUGGGGAAGAAAGCAAAGUUCAGAUUAUUUUAACAUACUUUCUUGGUUUUGGAUUUUCAUGGGCAGAGUUUCAGUACAUCUUGCUCCAGUGAAUCCAGGUUGGCACCUAAAGGGCAAAAACGUGAUAAGCAAUAGUACACCAAAACCACUGCACUAACAGACUGAUAUCUGCUGGCCUAUGGAGAUGGUAGUGCAUUAAAUGACCUCCUGGUUAGGUGUUAGUGAAAAAUGACCAGAAAAGGGGCAAGAAAGUGUAAUCUUUCUGGAAGAUAGCACUUCACAAAAUUUACUGCAAAAAUCCACCAGAGAAAAAAAUAGGAAGUCUUUUUGUUUGCCUGUUUUGAAAAAGAAGACCUAGCAAAAAUGUGUAUCAACUCAUUGCUUAUUCCACGUCAUGAAGGGAUCAGAUUGAGUUUUUAAAAUUUGCAAUGUGCUGUAUAACUGCGAUUUAUACUGUUGCAGUCAUACAGAAUCUAUGAAAAUACUAUCAUUUCCCUAUUUCUGUAAUGACAAGUCAUGUUUUUGAGUAGUUUCCUUGAAUGGGAGAUAGUUAAAACAGCAAUCACAG
Cygnus atratus (black swan) is the source of this 4957-nucleotide long non-coding RNA. RefSeq lists it as uncharacterized. The transcript is spliced from 4 exons. Lineage: Eukaryota; Metazoa; Chordata; Aves; Anseriformes; Anatidae. The record is from RefSeq and is a predicted model, not a curated record.